RNAcentral lists this transfer RNA (92 nucleotides) under Sphingomonas sp. S2M10. RNAcentral's name for it is "tRNA-Ala". The record is from RNAcentral. Lineage: Bacteria; Pseudomonadati; Pseudomonadota; Alphaproteobacteria; Sphingomonadales; Sphingomonadaceae.
CGAGCGAUGGCGGCGGCGGCGCGCUCGCCCCGCAGGCGCACCAGCUCCUGCGGGGCGGGGGUCGCCCUGGGAUCGUCGCCGGGUUGCUCGGC